CCGACGGUGAGAGAUGAAAGCUGGGGAGCAAACCGGAUUAGAUACCCGGGUAGUCCCAGCUGUAAACGAUGCGCGUUAGGUGUGUCAGUGACCACGUGUCACUGAUGUGCCGAAGGGAAACCGUGAAACGCGCCGCCUGGGGAGUACGGUCGCAAGGCUGAAACUUAAAGGAAUUGGCGGGGAGCACCACAACGGGUGGAGCCUGCGGUUUAAUCGGACUCAACGCCGGAAAUCUCACCGGAUAAGACAGCUGAAUGAUAGUCGGGAUGAAGACUCUACUUGACUAGCUGAGAGGAGGUGCAUGGCCGUCGUCAGUUCGUACUGUGAAGCAUCCUGUUUAGUCAG
This 345-nucleotide ribosomal RNA is filed under the name uncultured archaeon. RNAcentral's name for it is "bacterial SSU rRNA". It matches the Rfam family "Archaeal small subunit ribosomal RNA", at positions 691 to 1037 of the family's 1478-position model. The record is from RNAcentral.